Molecule: ribosomal RNA, 249 nt
Filed under: uncultured Bacillota bacterium
Lineage: Bacteria; Bacillati; Bacillota
Description: uncultured Firmicutes bacterium partial 16S ribosomal RNA
Rfam family: Bacterial small subunit ribosomal RNA
Source: RNAcentral
UACGUAGGUGGCAAGCGUUAUCCGGAAUUAUUGGGCGUAAAGGGUGCGUAGGUGGCAUGUUAAGUCUGGUGUAAAAGGCAAUAGCUCAACUAUUGUAUGCAUUGGAAACUGGCAAGCUAGAGUGUGUGAGAGGUAAGUGGAAUUCCAAGUGUAGCGGUGGAAUGCGUAGAUAUUUGGAGGAACACCAGUGGCGAAGGCGGCUUACUGGCACACAACUGACACUGAGGCACGACAGCGUGGGGAGCAAAU